GAACCUGCGGAAGGAUCAUUAUUGAAAUAAACCUGAUGAGUUGCUGCUGGUUCUCUAGGGAGCAUGUGCACACUUGUCAUCUUUAUAUCUCCACCUGUGCACCUUUUGUAGACCUGGAUAUCUCUCUGAAUGCUAGUCACUCAGGUUUGAGGAUUGACUUUAUGUCUCUCCUUGCAUUUCCAGGCCUAUGUUUCUGUAUAUACCCAAUGUAUGUCAUAGAAUGUAAUCAAUGGGCCUUUGUGCCUAUAAACCUAUACAACUUUCAGCAACGGAUCUCUUGGCUCUCGCAUCGAUGAAGAACGCAGCGAAAUGCGAUAAGUAAUGUGAAUUGCAGAAUUCAGUGAAUCAUCGAAUCUUUGAACGCACCUUGCGCUCCUUGGUAUUCCGAGGAGCAUGCCUGUUUGAGUGUCAUUAAUAUAUCAACCUCUUCAACUUUUGUUUGUCGGGUGUUGGAUUUGGGGGUCUUUUUUGCUGGUCUUGUAUCAGCUCCCCUGAAAUGCAUUAGCAGAACAAUUUGUGAACCGUUCAUUGGUGUGAUAACUAUCUACGCUGUUGACGUGAAACAGGUUCAGCUUCUAACAGUCCAUUGACUUGGACAACUUUUCAUUAAUGUGACCUCAAAUCAGGUAGGACUACCCGCUGAACUUAA
Molecule: ribosomal RNA, 649 nt
Filed under: Phlegmacium glaucopus
Lineage: Eukaryota; Fungi; Basidiomycota; Agaricomycetes; Agaricales; Cortinariaceae
Description: eukaryotic LSU rRNA
Rfam family: 5.8S ribosomal RNA (bases 258-411)
Source: RNAcentral